GGCCGCAUGGCCCAAUGGUCAAGGCGUCUGACUACGAAUCAGGAGAUUCCAGGUUCGAUCCCUGGUGUGGUCG
This is a non-coding RNA of Globomyces sp. JEL0801, 73 nucleotides long. The record is from the annotation of a GenBank genome assembly. Lineage: Eukaryota; Fungi; Chytridiomycota; Chytridiomycetes; Rhizophydiales; Globomycetaceae.